This 451-nucleotide ribosomal RNA is filed under the name uncultured bacterium. RNAcentral's name for it is "bacterial SSU rRNA". It matches the Rfam family "Bacterial small subunit ribosomal RNA", at positions 354 to 796 of the family's 1533-position model. The record is from RNAcentral.
GUGGGGAAUAUUGGGCAAUGGGCGAAAGCCUGACCCAGCGACGCCGCGUGGGUGAUGAAGGCCUUCGGGUUGUAAAGCCCUUUCGUGCGGAAAGAACAGCCCUGUAGCUAAUAUCUGCAGGGUUUGACGGUACCGCAGGAAGAAGCACCGGCUAACUCCGUGCCAGCAGCCGCGGUAAUACGGAGGGUGCAAGCGUUGUUCGGAAUUAUUGGGCGUAAAGGACGCGUAGGCGGUUGUGAUAGUCAGAUGUGAAAUCCUCUGGCUCAACUGGAGAACUGCAUCUGAAACUUCACAACUAGAGUACAGGAGAGGGAAACGGAAUUCCCGGUGUAGAGGUGAAAUUCGUAGAUAUCGGGAGGAACACCAGUGGCGAAGGCGGUUUCCUGGCCUGAUACUGACGCUGAGGCGUGAAAGCGUGGGGAGCAAACAGGAUUAGAUACCCCUGUAGUCC